GAUGAAGAACGUAGCGAAAUGCAAUAAGUAAUGUGAAUUGCAGAAUUCAGUGAAUCAUCGAGUCUUUGAACGCACAUUGCGCCCCCUGGUAUUCCGGGGGGCAUGCCUGUCCGAGCGUCAUUGCUGCCCUCAAGCACGGCUUGUGUGUUGGGCCGCCGUCCCCGGUUUCCCCCGGGGACGGGCCCGAAAGGCAGCGGCGGCACCGCGUCCGAUCCUCGAGCGUAUGGGGCUUUGUCACCCGCUCUGUAGGCCCGGCCGGCGCCAGCCGACACCCAACUUUAUUUCUAAGGUUGACCUCGGAUCAGGUAGGGAUACCCGCUGAACUUAAGCAUAUCAAUAAGCGGAGGA
Molecule: unclassified non-coding RNA, 348 nt
Filed under: soil metagenome
Description: partial contains 5.8S ribosomal RNA, internal transcribed spacer 2, and large subunit ribosomal RNA
Rfam family: 5.8S ribosomal RNA (bases 1-120)
Source: RNAcentral